Molecule: ribosomal RNA, 428 nt
Filed under: uncultured bacterium
Lineage: Bacteria
Description: bacterial SSU rRNA
Rfam family: Bacterial small subunit ribosomal RNA
Source: RNAcentral
GUUAGGAAUUUUGCGCAAUGGGGGAAACCCUGACGCAGCAACGCCGCGUGAAGGAUGAAGGCUUUCGGGUUGUAAACUUCUUUUGGCAGGAAAGAAAAAAAUGACGGUACCUGCAGAAAAAGCACCGGCUAACUCUGUGCCAGCAGCCGCGGUAAUACAGAGGGUGCAAGCGUUAUUCGGAAUUACUGGGCAUAAAGAGCGCGUAGGCGGUCUGAUAAGUCUGAUGUGAAAUCCCUGGACCCAAUUCAGGAAGUGCAUCGGAUACUGUCAGACUUGAGUACAGGAGGGGAGAGCGGAAUUCCUGGUGUAGAGGUGAAAUUCGUAGAUAUCAGGAGGAACAACAGUGGCGAAGGCGGCUCUCUGGACUGUUACUGACGCUGAGGCGCGAAAGCGUGGGGAGCAAACAGGAUUAGAAACCCUUGUAGUCC